RNAcentral lists this long non-coding RNA (292 nucleotides) under Prunus persica (peach). RNAcentral's name for it is "long non-coding RNA (PPER_LNC007798)". Lineage: Eukaryota; Viridiplantae; Streptophyta; Magnoliopsida; Rosales; Rosaceae. The record is from RNAcentral.
CCGAUACAAGUAGACCUCCACUUCCGGAACCUUCGUCCUCGCGGUUUUAGGAUUCGGAUUCGGGUUCCGGGAUGACCCGUCGGAUUUCGGGUCCGAUUCCUCGAUUUCGCCGACUCUGUUGGUAUCUUCUUUGUCGUCCAUCUUUGUUUCUGGGUUUUGAUUUCCUUUCUGUGAAUAUGGAUCCGACUUUUGUGGUGUACUAUUUAUAUAGAUUUUGUACUUGGAGACGAAGAGCGGAGGCCCCUUGAAGAAUAAAGAGGUCAACACGCACAAUAAUAUCCAGAGCAGGCGG